Zalophus californianus (California sea lion) is the source of this 492-nucleotide non-coding RNA. The record is from the annotation of a RefSeq genome assembly. NCBI's taxonomy places the organism in Eukaryota, Metazoa, Chordata, Mammalia, Carnivora, Otariidae.
CCUCCCUCUCUCAGAGGAUGAAGAGGGGAAGGGAGAGAUGAGGGGAGGCUCUGCACAGCUGUGGGGCCACAGCAGGCAGGAUCGGUGAUGACCUCCACCAUGGCCUGGUCCCCUCUCCUCCUCAGCCUCCUCGCUCACUGCACAGGGUCCUGGGCCCAGUCUGUGCUGACUCAGCCGCCCUCCGUGUCUGGGAGCCUGGGCCAGAGGGUCACCAUCUCCUGCACUGGAAGCAGCUCCAACAUCGGGGGUGGUAGUUAUGUGAGCUGGUUCCAACAGCUCCCAGGAAAAGCCCCCAGAACCAUCAUCUAUGGUAAUAGUAACAGACCCUCAGGGGUCCCGGAUCGAUUCUCUGGCUCCAAGUCUGGCAGCUCAGCCACCCUGACCAUCACUGGGCUCCAGGCUGAGGACGAGGCUGAGUAUUACUGCCAGUCCUAUGACAGCAGUCUCAAUGAGAUGGAAGAACCCCUCAACAGAGGACUCAUCCAUUUAUAG